CCUACGGGUGGCUGCAGUGGGGAAUAUUGGGCAAUGGGCGCAAGCCUGACCCAGCAACGCCGCGUGAAGGAAGAAGGCCCUCGGGUUGGUAACCUUCUUUGUCAGGGACGAAACAAAUGACGGUACCUGCCGAAUAAGCCACCGAGAAGAAAGUGCAUGCAGUAGCGGCAAGACGGAGGCGGCAAGCGUUAUCCGGAUUUACUGGGUGUAAGGGGCGUGUAGUCGGGAGAGCAAGUCAGAUGUGAAAUUCCAGGGCUCAACCCUGGAACUGUAUUUGAAACUGGUUUUCUUGAGUGAUGGAGAGGCAGGCGGAAUUCCGGGUGUAGCGGUGAAAUGCGUAGAUAUACGGAGGAACACCAGUGGCGAAGGCAGCCUGCUGGACCUUAACUGACGCUGAGGCGCGAAAGCGUGGGGAGCGAACAGGAUUAGAUACCCGAGUAGUC
RNAcentral lists this ribosomal RNA (443 nucleotides) under uncultured bacterium. RNAcentral's name for it is "partial 16S ribosomal RNA". It matches the Rfam family "Bacterial small subunit ribosomal RNA", at positions 338 to 795 of the family's 1533-position model. The record is from RNAcentral.